Long non-coding RNA from Monopterus albus (swamp eel), 271 nucleotides. RefSeq lists it as uncharacterized. The record is from RefSeq and is a predicted model, not a curated record. The transcript has 3 exons. Lineage: Eukaryota; Metazoa; Chordata; Actinopteri; Synbranchiformes; Synbranchidae.
GCCCAGACGGUCAGCGUUGGAGAUGUCGAACACACCGCCCACGGAGGCUGUGUCCACACCACCUGCAGGGGGAAGAGGGACAACAUUCUUUGGAUGUGGCAGGCAAACAGCCAGAGGAACCUAGUGCCCGAGCACUUCACUUCCACUUGUUGCUGGAUAUUUUGUUGAAAAUGACCCAUUAGACGCAGCCUGGUCAGGAUCUCCUCAAACUUGGCAUGUGUGCUGAGCUUGGGCAGCUUGACGUGCACGCCACCACGCAGGCCGGUUCCCA